This 955-nucleotide long non-coding RNA is filed under the name Coturnix japonica (Japanese quail). RNAcentral's name for it is "lncRNA (ENSCJPG00005004945.1)". The record is from RNAcentral. Lineage: Eukaryota; Metazoa; Chordata; Aves; Galliformes; Phasianidae.
GUGUAAUUAGCCUUUUGUUUUACAUAACAGGUAAAAGCAAGCAAACAAAAAGAAACAUACGGAAACACCACAACCCUUUCUGAGUAGAAGCAAAGAGAAUACAUGACUGAGACUCGAAGUGGUAGGGCACACUGGUGACUGCGUCUUGGAGGAUUGCUUAAAGAGUUGCUUCUCUCUAUCUUUUUUUCCCCUUCAUUCAUUUAAAAGGGUUAAUUGGGUUGGGAAAUAAAUGCCUGAAAUGGUGUAUUUUGUGUUUGUGAUUCUUCAAUAGACAUUGAUUUUGGAAUCUUCAAAUGGUGCAAGUCCUCACAUUUUUUGUAUGUUUUUUAAAGUGUUCAGUCUGCUUGUAAGUAACAUAGUCAGCAACAACUCUCUGUGAAACAGUUAAACCAUCAGUAAAUAAUUAACGUUUACAACGCUGUCACAUAUUCAUAUGAGCAAGAGCUCUGUAAUGAUGCAUUGCCUCAUACUUGGUUAACGCGUAUGUAUGAACACUAGGUAUCACAUUACAGUUGUAUGGGAUGUUACCUAGAGGAACUGCUGCAGUGGUGUACCAAAGUCCCUGGCUUGAGCUGAAUAACCAGCCACUGUAAAUUGAUACUAUCUUAUCUGUAUCGGAGGAUUCUGUCCGGAGGAGUUUGGAGGCAGCAGGCAGUUGGAGGUGAAUUGACAUCAAACCAUUAAAGCUGCCAUUCUGGCCUUACUUGGCCACAGAACUAAUUGAGCAGAUACUGUUUUUCUUGCUGUUAAUUCACUGAAGCUGUGAACACUGUUGUCUACAGAAGUUUGGAGGACCACUGUAAGCUAAAAUUAUGCUUCUGUUAGAAUAUAUUACUUGCCACUGUUAACUGUGUGGUGAUACUUUACUUGGGGAAUUAAGAGCUUUGUCCCUUCUUCCAUUUCCUCUCACUAGCAUUUCCUGGUCUGGAAUGUAGUCCUUAUUACAUAGUGAAAC